RNAcentral lists this ribosomal RNA (497 nucleotides) under uncultured bacterium. RNAcentral's name for it is "partial 16S ribosomal RNA". It matches the Rfam family "Bacterial small subunit ribosomal RNA", at positions 28 to 507 of the family's 1533-position model. The record is from RNAcentral.
GACGAACGCUGGCGGCGUGCCUAAUACAUGCAAGUUGAGCGCUUAAGGUUGGUACUUGUACCAACUGGAUGAGCAGCGGACGGGUGAGUAACGCGUGGGGAAUCUGCCUUUGAGCGGGGGACAACAUUUGGAAACGAAUGCUAAUACCGCAUAAAAACUUUAAACACAAGUUUUAAGUUUGAAAGAUGCAAUUGCACCACUCAAAGAUGAUCCCGCGUUGUAUUAGCUAGUUGGUGAGGUAAAGGCUCACCAAGGCGAUGAUACAUAGCCGACCUGAGAGGGUGAUCGGCCACAUUGGGACUGAGACACGGCCCAAACUCCUACGGGAGGCAGCAGUAGGGAAUCUUCGGCAAUGGACGAAAGUCUGACCGAGCAACGCCGCGUGAGUGAAGAAGGGUUUCGGAUCGUAAAACUCUGUUGGUAGAGAAGAACGUUGGUGAGAGUGGAAAGCUCAUCAAGUGACGGUAACUACCCAGAAAGGGACGGCUAACUACGUG